Molecule: non-coding RNA, 108 nt
Organism: Arthrobacter sp. Hiyo8
Lineage: Bacteria; Bacillati; Actinomycetota; Actinomycetes; Micrococcales; Micrococcaceae
Source: Rfam
CUACGACCACACGGGGGCCCUUGCAAGGGCUGAGAUCGGGCUGAUGCAGCCUGCGACCGUUGAACCUGUCCGGGUAAUGCCGGCGAAGGAAGUGAGUAAUCCUUUGAG